ACUCAAAUGAAUUGACGGGGACCCGCACAACCAGUGGAGCGUGUGGUUCAAUUCGAGACAAAGCGAAAAACCUUACCAGGGUUUGACAUAGUACCGUUUUAUACCUUUGGAAACAUUGGUAGAUCCGCAAGGAUGGUAUUACAGGUGCUGCAUGGCUGUCGUCAGCUCGUGCCGUGAGGUGUUCCCUUAAGUGGGGAAACGAGCGCAACCCCCGCCCAAUGUUACAUAUUCAUUGGGGACAGCCCCGAUCAUAUCGGGGAGGAAGGAGGGGCAGAUGUCAAGUCAGCAUGGUCCUUAUACCCUGGGUUACACACACCCUACAAUGGCGAAAAACAACGGGCUGCAAGUACGCAAGUGCAAGCAAAUCCCUCAAAUUUCGCCUCAGUUCAGAUUGGGGUCUGCAACCCGACCCCAUGAAGUCGGAAUUGGUAGUAAUCGCGGAUCAGCAGGCCGCGGUGAAUACGUUCUCGGGUCUUGUACACACCGCCCGU
Molecule: ribosomal RNA, 491 nt
Filed under: uncultured bacterium
Lineage: Bacteria
Description: partial 16S ribosomal RNA
Rfam family: Bacterial small subunit ribosomal RNA
Source: RNAcentral